RNAcentral lists this long non-coding RNA (388 nucleotides) under Anas platyrhynchos platyrhynchos (common mallard). RNAcentral's name for it is "lncRNA (ENSAPLG00000018444.1)". The record is from RNAcentral. Lineage: Eukaryota; Metazoa; Chordata; Aves; Anseriformes; Anatidae.
AAUCUAUUACUAGCAUUUAAGGUGGGAGAGCCAAAUUAAAGGACGGGGUGAUCGAAUAGAGCUCCCAUUCAUCUACAGGAAGCAGCAGGUCCACUGCACCCAUAAAGUCACAACACAUCUUUCCAGCUUGCAUCCAGUGAUGUAUAGUGAUCACAAAGCCUUCUAAAAUGGACUACGAGAUUAUGGAUUUGAUCCAUGAUGCAACUGAUCUUUCUACCAUCAAGCAGUCUGUGUUAGCGUAUCACAUAAAGCAAUUAAAGAACCAUUUAAUCAAAGACUUCAAAGUGUGAAGCCUGAAUUUAUGACUUGCCAUUUGUUUACUGUAUUAUUCUAAUACCAGAUCAGUCAGCCUUCAACAGCAAUAUAAUAAAACUGUCCAUGGGACCCA